RNAcentral lists this ribosomal RNA (201 nucleotides) under uncultured bacterium. RNAcentral describes it as "partial 16S ribosomal RNA". It matches the Rfam family "Bacterial small subunit ribosomal RNA", at positions 328 to 539 of the family's 1533-position model. The record is from RNAcentral.
ACGCUCGACACCUACGGGAGGCAGCAGUGGGGAAUAUUGGGCAAUGGGCGCAAGCCUGACCCAGCAACGCCGCGUGAAGGAAGAAGGCUUUCGGGUUGUAAACUUCUUUUAUUAAGGACGAAACAAAUGACGGUACUUAAUGAAUAAGCUCCGGCUAACUACGUACCAGCAGCCGCGGUAAUCUGAGCGGGCUGGCAAGGC